ACCGCCAAGGACAUUAAGAAUGUAGGCGGAACUAUAUGUCUGCAAAGGUUUCCGGGGGGACCCAUUAUAUGCACGGAUAUAUACAAGUAGUAGAAAGUUCGGUUGUCACAGCUUUCUGAAGUUAUGGCCAAGUGUUAAAAGGUGUUUAAUCUGUUCAAGAAACACUCCAAAGGAAGCUAUUCCCUCCCUGUGUUAUUUAAUGCAGCCAAUGAGUUCUCACGUUUAGGAAUAAAUCCUAAUCAGUGAUGUUAAGAACAGUUGUGCUGUCAUCAUUAUAUCAGAGGGAGGCACAGAUGCCCUUCUGGCAGCUGUUACUUUGCCCAAGUUCAAGCUGCACUGGCUUAGAAGAUGAUGAGAGGAGAGUGUUGUGACAAGUCUUCUCAUGAGCCCAUGGUGAGGCCUGCAGAACUCCUUUCAUCUCGAGUCAGGAUGACUUUUUUUAUAUGAAGAGGAAGCUAUUUUUUUACUGUGAAGACAAUGAAGUAAUGGAGUACUUGAAAUCAAGUGGAGCAGAGAUGGAUGUUCUUAAGCCACUAAUCCAGAGUAAAGAAAAUCUUAUUGAAAUACAACACCAUAGUGCACAUGUGGAAAGACUUUUCAGUCUAUGCAGUCUUGUGCUGACCCCAAUAAGAAAUAGUCCUCCAAACGAUUUGACAAGCUUUUGUUACUGAGAUAUAACCACUAUUUUAGAAAUGAGUGAACAAAAACGUAUUCCUCAGCAAUGGCUUCUGAGUAAAGAUUUAGGCAGUUCCAUGUAAAGAGAUUUAAAAAAGGCCCCUUGAAGAUUUUGUAACUUUAAUUUAUGACCAUUAUUUUGUUUUGUUUGUUAAUUCAAUUUUUAUUCUUGCCUGUCCACAUACUUAAAAUGUGGAUUUUGUUUUGUUGGACCACUGAAGAAGCUUUUAUUGCACUAUAUUUUUGUAUUGCUUAAAUACAUACGGACUUGUUCAGAGAGAAUAGUAGUGAAAUAUAUUUUGUACAUGUUUAAUGUUAAUUCUAUUACUGCUACAUUUUGUUCCUUAUUAAACUAUGAAAAGGACUAUUGUCUAUCAGGUUUUUACUUUCCAGAUAUGUUUGUAGAUGAUUGAUUGAUUCCAGUAUAUUUUGUAUGGGUUUUAGAAUGUAACUUAAAAGUAAAUUAAUGCGGUUUCAGAUUACAUUUUCCAGAAGGUAAUGAGUAAAGUAAUCCCACUGCAAUUUUAGUUAAGUAAUGAGUAAUUGGCAAUGGUUUACUUUUUUAGUAGCUACCUCAAUACUGCUAGUAUUUAACUUCCACCCCACCGUAUGAAAAAUCAUGCUUAAAAGCCUUUUACUCUAAUUCAACAAUGUUGGAUGAAUUGGCAUUAGGAGGAGGGUUUUUACAAUUGAUGAUUUUGUUUAAUGUUAUCUGUUGCUAACUUUAUUCAGUAUCCUAACCUAAUCUAUUACCUGUUAACAUUACCUGGAUCUACUAAUUUAGUGGGGAAUAAUUCACUAACAUGUGAAUGUGCAUGUUAAUUGUCAUGUAGCUCUCUGGCUCAGACUCCAUUUCCCCAAAACCUGUCAGAGAUCACAUGACUCAUCCUCCUAUCACCAUUUACAAUCACCAGAGUACUGAUAUAUUGCACCCGUUUUCUGUGUCAUAUGACCUGUUUAGUUUAAAAAAGUGCACAGGCCUUAGCUUAGCCUAGUUGCGAGGUAUUGCUUUUCUUUAUAGAGCUACUAAGUGUUUCUUGAGUGUUAUUGUUAUUGCUCUUUUGGUGUUCGUUAUGUUUGUGUUCUUUUGUCUUUUUGCCUAUUUGGAUUUGAUCCACACAUGGUCACCAACUAUGAUUUUGGUUAAGCCCUUUUCAAUUAAACCCUCAUUUCUUGUU
Long non-coding RNA from Pygocentrus nattereri (red-bellied piranha), 1853 nucleotides. RefSeq lists it as uncharacterized. The record is from RefSeq and is a predicted model, not a curated record. Lineage: Eukaryota; Metazoa; Chordata; Actinopteri; Characiformes; Serrasalmidae. The transcript has 2 exons.